GAGUUUGAUGGUGGCUCUGAAUGAACGCUGUCCAAGUGCUUGACACAUGCUAAUCGAACGUCUAAUUUAACCAUGUGGCGUUAAGUCACUAAUUUGAUUAGAAGUGGUGUACAGGUGAGUAUUUAAUAUUUUGGCUGCCUUAAAGAAAGGUAAAAUACCUUAUAAAAAUAGGAAGAAGAAAGGAAGUAAGUUUCCGCUUUAAGAGGACAAUAAAUAUUUCGGAUAGGUAGUAGUUAAGGUAAUGGCUUAACUAGCUUGAAAUUCCGUAGUCGAGACUGAGAGGUCGAUCGAUCACAUUGGGUCUGAAAAAACCCCAAUACGUAUAGUACAGCAGUGGGGAAUAUUGGUCAAUGGCCGCAGAGGCUGAACCAGCAACUUGGGGGAAUGUAUAGCUCCGGCUAACUAUAUUUAGUUUUUUAUUAUAGUAAUAAAAAGUGUAAAUAUUUUAUAUAUUGAAAAAAUAUAGUAUCGAUUUUGUCGAAUAAAGUUCUAGAUAGAAUACUGAUCAUGACUAUUUUCUAUCUAUAUGUCUUGACCAAAUUACGUGCCAGCAGUCGCGGUAAUACGUAGAAGACUAGUGUUAUUC
This 586-nucleotide non-coding RNA is filed under the name Sclerotinia sclerotiorum 1980 UF-70. RNAcentral's name for it is "Bacterial small subunit ribosomal RNA". It matches the Rfam family "Bacterial small subunit ribosomal RNA", at positions 9 to 546 of the family's 1533-position model. The record is from Rfam by way of RNAcentral. Lineage: Eukaryota; Fungi; Ascomycota; Leotiomycetes; Helotiales; Sclerotiniaceae.